RNAcentral lists this ribosomal RNA (539 nucleotides) under uncultured bacterium. RNAcentral's name for it is "bacterial SSU rRNA". It matches the Rfam family "Bacterial small subunit ribosomal RNA", at positions 356 to 896 of the family's 1533-position model. The record is from RNAcentral.
GAGGAAUAUUGGUCAAUGGGCGAGAGCCUGAACCAGCCAAGUAGCGUGCAGGACGACGGCCCUAUGGGUUGUAAACUGCUUUUGUAUGGGGAUAAAGUCAAUCACGUGUGAUUGUUUGCAGGUACCAUACGAAUAAGGACCGGCUAAUUCCGUGCCAGCAGCCGCGGUAAUACGGAAGGUCCGGGCGUUAUCCGGAUUUAUUGGGUUUAAAGGGAGCGUAGGCUGGAGAUUAAGUGUGUUGUGAAAUGUAGACGCUCAACGUCUGACUUGCAGCGCAUACUGGUUUCCUUGAGUACGCACAACGUUGGCGGAAUUCGUCGUGUAGCGGUGAAAUGCUUAGAUAUGACGAAGAACUCCGAUUGCGAAGGCAGCUGACGGGAGCGCAACUGACGCUGAAGCUCGAAGGUGCGGGUAUCGAACAGGAUUAGAUACCCUGGUAGUCCGCACAGUAAACGAUGGAUGCCCGCUGUUGGUACUUGGUAUCAGCGGCUAAGCGAAAGCAUUAAGCAUCCCACCUGGGGAGUACGCCGGCAACGGUG